Molecule: ribosomal RNA, 230 nt
Filed under: Klebsiella variicola
Lineage: Bacteria; Pseudomonadati; Pseudomonadota; Gammaproteobacteria; Enterobacterales; Enterobacteriaceae
Description: partial 23S ribosomal RNA
Rfam family: Bacterial large subunit ribosomal RNA
Source: RNAcentral
GUUGCACUAUCGGUAUCUGAAUACAGAGGUUAACGUGGAGAACCGGGGGAACUGAAACAUCUAAGUUCCCCGAGGAAAAGAAAUCAACCGAGAUUCCCCCAGUAGCUGCGAGCGAACGUGGAGCAGCCCAGAGUCUGAAUCAGCUUGUGUGUUAGUGGAACUGUCUUGAAAGUCCGACGGUACAGGGUGAUAGUCACUUACACCAAAAUGCACAGGUUGUUAACUCGAAG